AAGUCGUAACAAGGUUUCCGUAGGUGAACCUGCGGAAGGAUCAUCAUCGAUUUCAUCUCGGGGUCGCCACCAUCGCGUGGCCCCCGAGACCAACAAUCAGUACCACUUGUGCACCGUAAACCGUACACUUUGGCAGGCUUUGGACGUCCCCUGUCGGGGGGCAUCCAACCUCCGUCAGCCCAGCGGGGGAAGGGCGUGAGGCGGCCUGCCAGAGUCCCGCAUCGAAGAACGCGUCUCAAACAUGAGUCAGCCUGAAAAUUAUUUGAGUAAUCAAAUACAACUUUCAACAACGGAUCUCUUGGCUCUC
RNAcentral lists this unclassified non-coding RNA (307 nucleotides) under fungal sp. RNAcentral describes it as "partial internal transcribed spacer region". The stretch from base 1 to 46 matches the Rfam family "Eukaryotic small subunit ribosomal RNA", at positions 1786 to 1831 of the family's 1831-position model. Lineage: Eukaryota; Fungi. The record is from RNAcentral.